GCAUUGGUAGUUCAGUGGUAGAUUUCUCAUCCUCCACGUGGGAAGCCUGGGUUAGAUUCCAGCCAAUGUA
Molecule: transfer RNA, 70 nt
Filed under: Loxodonta africana (African savanna elephant)
Lineage: Eukaryota; Metazoa; Chordata; Mammalia; Proboscidea; Elephantidae
Rfam family: tRNA
About the family: Transfer RNA (tRNA) molecules are approximately 80 nucleotides in length. Their secondary structure includes four short double-helical elements and three loops (D, anti-codon, and T loops).
Source: Rfam by way of RNAcentral